UGGGGAAUAUUGCACAAUGGGAGCAAGCCUGAUGCAGCCAUGCCGCGUGUAUGAAGAAGGCCUUCGGGUUGUAAAGUACUUUCAGCGAGGAGGAAGGCGUUGUGGUUAAUAACCGCAACGAUUGACGUUACUCGCAGAAGAAGCACCGGCUAACUCCGUGCCAGCAGCCGCGGUAAUACGGAGGGUGCAAGCGUUAAUCGGAAUUACUGGGCGUAAAGCGCACGCAGGCGGUCUGUCAAGUCGGAUGUGAAAUCCCCGGGCUCAACCUGGGAACUGCAUCCGAAACUGGCAGGCUAGAGUCUUGUAGAGGGGGGUAGAAUUCCAGGUGUAGCGGUGAAAUGCGUAGAGAUCUGGAGGAAUACCGGUGGCGAAGGCGGCCCCCUGGACAAAGACUGACGCUCAGGUGCGAAAGCGUGGGGAGCAAACA
Molecule: ribosomal RNA, 427 nt
Filed under: uncultured bacterium
Lineage: Bacteria
Description: partial 16S ribosomal RNA
Rfam family: Bacterial small subunit ribosomal RNA
Source: RNAcentral